UACGUAGGUGGCAAGCGUUGUCCGGAUUUACUGGGCGUAAAGCGUAUGCAGGCGGAGGUGUAAGUAGGAAGUGAAAGGUUGGAGCUCAACUCUAACACUGCUCCCUAUACUGCACCUCUGGAGUGCCGGAGAGGACAAAGGAACUUCACGUGUAGCGGUGAAAUGCGUUGAGAUGUGAAGGAACACCAAUGGCGAAAGCAUUUGUCUGGACGGAAACUGACGCUGAGAUACGAAAGCUAGGGGAGCGAACAGG
This 253-nucleotide ribosomal RNA is filed under the name uncultured bacterium. RNAcentral describes it as "partial 16S ribosomal RNA". It matches the Rfam family "Bacterial small subunit ribosomal RNA", at positions 524 to 776 of the family's 1533-position model. The record is from RNAcentral.